This is a long non-coding RNA of Vidua macroura (Pin-tailed whydah), 290 nucleotides long. RefSeq lists it as uncharacterized. The record is from RefSeq and is a predicted model, not a curated record. Lineage: Eukaryota; Metazoa; Chordata; Aves; Passeriformes; Viduidae. The transcript is spliced from 4 exons.
GCCACAGUCGGUGACUCUAGGAGACUGCCAGCGGGCGAGGUGGCCUUCCUCGGCACCGGACACGCAGCCAGAUGGAAUCCGUGGCAGAGGGCCCCGUCCCGGGUGAGGGGGGUCCCCCGAGAAGGAACUAAAGCCAGAUACUAGCGGUCAAGGCGGUCCGCUCGUCUUACGCCGAGACCCCCCUCAGCAACGGGGCCGCAGACCCCCGCUUGGUCACUCUCGUGGGAAUUCGGGAAGCAGUGCACGGAUCUGUGAUGAAGCCUUGAUCUUUGUCGUUUGAAGGUGUCACC